Molecule: transfer RNA, 76 nt
Filed under: bovine gut metagenome
Rfam family: tRNA
About the family: Transfer RNA (tRNA) molecules are approximately 80 nucleotides in length. Their secondary structure includes four short double-helical elements and three loops (D, anti-codon, and T loops). Further hydrogen bonds mediate the characteristic L-shaped molecular structure. tRNAs have two regions of fundamental functional importance: the anti-codon, which is responsible for specific mRNA codon recognition, and the 3' end, to which the tRNAs corresponding amino acid is attached (by aminoacyl-tRNA synthetases). tRNAs cope with the degeneracy of the genetic code in two manners: having more than one tRNA (with a specific anti-codon) for a particular amino acid; and 'wobble' base-pairing, i.e. permitting non-standard base-pairing at the 3rd anti-codon position.
Source: RNAcentral
GAGUGGCGGAAUGGUAGACGCGCUGGACUCAAAAUCCUGUGUCCUAACAGACGUGUGGGUUCGAUUCCCACCUCGG